GUCUAUGUACAUGCGCUUGAGCACUGUCACAAACCACAAAAGACCGGAAACUGCAGUGACACCAAUUUUCUGAUAAUCUCUCCCUCCCUCCUCCCCCUCUCUCUCUCUCUCUCUCUCAAACUCCCUCCCUCUGUCUGUCUGUCUGUCUGUCUCUCUCUCUCUCUUCCUCCCUCCUCCCCCUCUCUCUCUCUCUCAAACUCCCUCCCUCUCUCUGUUUGUCUGUCUCUCUCUCGCUCUCGGCUGUCUCUGUCGAUGGAGGCAACCGGAUAAGGACAGCAUGCAGGCUCAUCCCUGAGAAGAGACACGGAGCUGAGAACGCUGGUCUGGUGGCCGACCUGAGUACUGCUGGACCCCCUGACCCCCACGGCUUGACCCCCUGGACCCCCACCUCUGGACCCCCACCCCUGGACCCCCACCUCUGGACCCCCACCUCUGGACCCCAAGGACAGCCCUCUGGCACCAUGGGGAACUGUCUUUCAGAGAUGAAACUGCCAAAAGGAGGCCUUCUGAAGAACCUCCCGGAAGCUGACGCUGGGAAGGAAGAGGAGCGCGGGCCGCCUGCCGACGGCCUGUACGCCGCCGUGGACUUCAGCAAGAAGAGGUCCUCCCGGGCCCCCGGCCCCCGUGACUCCUCCCCCCGCCCCCCUGACUCCUCCCCCCGCCCCUCAGAGUGUGUCUACUCCGUCAUUAUCCCGCACAGACCUCCAGCCCCGCCCACCUCGGAGGCUGAGGAAGGGGCCGAUGAUUAUGUCCUCAUGCAGUAGGACCACGAGGUCGACCAACGGCAGUACCGAGCUGGAGCGGACCGGAUGCUCACUGCUGCCGUCGCGGUGAGCCCUGACGGAGGCUCGGGACGUCAUUCUGUGGUUCUACGUUCAUCGCUGCGGAGGAA
This 892-nucleotide long non-coding RNA is filed under the name Gadus morhua (Atlantic cod). RNAcentral's name for it is "lncRNA (ENSGMOG00000024229.1)". The record is from RNAcentral. Lineage: Eukaryota; Metazoa; Chordata; Actinopteri; Gadiformes; Gadidae.